This 496-nucleotide ribosomal RNA is filed under the name uncultured bacterium. Its description in RNAcentral is "bacterial SSU rRNA". It matches the Rfam family "Bacterial small subunit ribosomal RNA", at positions 31 to 518 of the family's 1533-position model. The record is from RNAcentral.
GAACGCUAGCGACAGGCUAACACAUGCAAGUCGAGGGGUAACAGGGUAGCAAUACCGCUGACGACCGGCGCACGGUGAGUAACGCGUAUGCAACCUGCCUAUAACUGGGGAAUAGCUCCCUGAAAGGGGGAAUUAACACCGCAUAACACUAUUGAUUCGCAUGGAUUAGUAGUUAAAUGUAGCGAUACAGGUUAUAGAUGGGCAUGCGUGACAUUAGCUAGUUGGUGAGGUAACGGCUCACCAAGGCUACGAUGUCUAGGGGUUCUGAGAGGAAGGUCCCCCCACACUGGUACUGAGACACGGACCAGACUCCCACGGGAGGCAGCAGUGAGGAAUAUUGGUCAAUGGGCGCAAGCCUGAACCAGCCAUGUCGCGUGCAGGAAGAACCUGCCCUAUGGGUUGUAAACUGCUUUUAUAGUAGAAGAAACACAUCUACGUGUAGAUGUCUGCCAGUAUACUAUGAAUAAGCAUCGGCUAACUCCGUGCCAGCCGCCGC